GGGGAGCAAACAGGAUUAGAUACCCUGGUAGUCCACGCCGUAAACGAUGUCGAUUUGGAGGUUGUGCCCUUGAGGCGUGGCUUCCGGAGCUAACGCGUUAAAUCGACCGCCUGGGGAGUACGGCCGCAAGGUUAAAACUCAAAUGAAUUGACGGGGGCCCGCACAAGCGGUGGAGCAUGUGGUUUAAUUCGAUGCAACGCGAAGAACCUUACCUGGUCUUGACAUCCACAGAACUUUCCAGAGAUGGAUUGGUGCCUUCGGGAACUGUGAGACAGGUGCUGCAUGGCUGUCGUCAGCUCGUGUUGUGAAAUGUUGGGUUAAGUCCCGCAACGAGCGCAACCCUUAUCCUUUGUUGCCAGCGGUUCGGCCGGGAACUCAAAGGAGACUGCCAGUGAUAAACUGGAGGAAGGUGGGGAUGACGUCAAGUCAUCAUGGCCCUUACGACCAGGGCUACACACGUGCUACAAUGGCAUAUACAAAGAGAAGCGACCUCGCGAGAGCAAGCGGACCUCAUAAAGUAUGUCGUAGUCCGGAUUGGAGUCUGCAACUCGACUCCAUGAAGUCGGAAUCGCUAGUAAUCGUAGAUCAGAAUGCUACGGUGAAUACGUUCCCGGGCCUUGUACACACCGCCCGUCACACCAUGGGAGUGGGUUGCAAAAGAAGUAGGUAGCUUAACCUUCGGGAGGGCGCUUACCACUUUGUGAUUCAUGACUGGGGUGAAGUC
Molecule: ribosomal RNA, 724 nt
Filed under: Klebsiella sp. AUSMSAA15
Lineage: Bacteria; Pseudomonadati; Pseudomonadota; Gammaproteobacteria; Enterobacterales; Enterobacteriaceae
Description: bacterial SSU rRNA
Rfam family: Bacterial small subunit ribosomal RNA
Source: RNAcentral